UAUAAACAAGAGGGCUACAGCAACACAGGUGCUCAGACAGCUAGGUGACAACAGAAUACUGAGAUUUCAGUCAUUUGGCUGGGCUUCCCUGGUGGCGCAGUGGUUGAGAGUCUGCCU
This is a long non-coding RNA of Balaenoptera musculus (blue whale), 117 nucleotides long. RefSeq lists it as uncharacterized. NCBI's taxonomy places the organism in Eukaryota, Metazoa, Chordata, Mammalia, Artiodactyla, Balaenopteridae. The record is from RefSeq and is a predicted model, not a curated record. The transcript has 3 exons.